This 817-nucleotide ribosomal RNA is filed under the name uncultured bacterium. Its description in RNAcentral is "bacterial SSU rRNA". It matches the Rfam family "Bacterial small subunit ribosomal RNA", at positions 8 to 853 of the family's 1533-position model. The record is from RNAcentral.
AGAGUUUGAUCAUGGCUCAGGAUGAACGCUGGCGGCGUGCCUAACACAUGCAAGUCGAGCGAUUCUCUUCGGAGAAGAGCGGCGGACGGGUGAGUAGCGCGUGGGUAACCUGCCUCAUACACAUGGAUAACAUACCGAAAGGUAUGCUAAUACAAGAUGAUAUAAGAGAUUCGCAUGGAUUUCUUAUCAAAGCUCCGGCGGUAUGAGAUGGACCCGCGUCUGAUUAGCUAGUUGGUAAGGUAACGGCUUACCAAGGCGACGAUCAGUAGCCGACCUGAGAGGGUGAUCGGCCACAUUGGAACUGAGACACGGUCCAAGCUCCUACGGGAGGCAGCAGUGGGGAAUAUUGCACAAUGGGCGAAAGCCUGAUGCAGCAACGCCGCGUGAGUGAUGAAGGCCUUCGGGUCGUAAAACUCUGUCCUCAAGGAAGAUAAUGACGGUACUUGAGGAGGAAGCCCCGGCUAACUACGUGCCAGCAGCCGCGGUAAUACGUAGGGGGCUAGCGUUAUCCGGAUUUACUGGGCGUAAAGGGUGCGUAGGUGGUUUCUUAAGUCAGGAGUGAAAGGCUACGGCUUAACCGUAGUAAGCUCUUGAAACUGGGAAAUUUGAGUGCAGGAGAGGAAAGUGGAAUUCCUAGUGUAGCGGUGAAAUGCGUAGAUAUUAGGAGGAACACCAGUAGCGAAGGCGGCUUUCUGGACUGUAACUGACACUGAGGCACGAAAGCGUGGGGAGCAAACAGGAUUAGAUACCCUGGUAGUCCACGCCGUAAACGAUGAGUAUUUAGGUGUCGGGGGUUACCCCCCUCGGUGCCGCAGCU